UACGUAGGUGGCAAGCGUUGUCCGGAUUUAUUGGGUUUAAAGGGUGCGUAGGCGGUCCUAUAAGUCAGUGCUGAAAUAUCCCGGCUUAACCGGGAGGGUGGCAUUGAUACUGCAGGACUUGAGUGAAGUCGAGGUAGGCGGAAUUGACGGUGUAGCGGUGAAAUGCUUAGAUAUCGUCAAGAACACCGAUAGUGAAGACAGCUUACUAGGCUUAUACUGACGCUGAGGCACGAAAGUGUGGGGAUCAAACAGG
RNAcentral lists this ribosomal RNA (253 nucleotides) under uncultured bacterium. RNAcentral describes it as "partial 16S ribosomal RNA". It matches the Rfam family "Bacterial small subunit ribosomal RNA", at positions 524 to 776 of the family's 1533-position model. The record is from RNAcentral.